CCUUCCUUAUUUCCUUCCUUCUGCAAUGAGUGAAAUCUAUUUUCUUCCAAAGCAUUGAAAACAUCAGAAAAUAAGAUACAGGCCAAAUCCUUUCAAAUCUCAAAUCAGAUGUAAAACUAACAUCUUAAGUGUUUCUGUCUCUCUAAAAAUUGCUAAGUUGGAAGACCUCAUGCAAAAGUAAUGCUUUUCAGAAGAGUGGAUAAAACGGAUGAAUUGAAAGUGGAUGAAACAGAUGAAUUUUCAAAAGACCAUUCACUAGCCUCCCUUUUGGUUGCAUUUCACAACAUCCAAGCCACCAUGAUGGAGAAUGUGCUCUCUGUGCUUAUGGAGUUGAUUAGUGGCCUGUCAGAAGCCAAUGGUUACUUCAGUGUGGAAGUAAUACCCAAUAUUAAAGUUGCUGUCGUGACUUUUCUCAAAAAUACUGGUGUCAGGACAUCUGUUAAUGCUUAUGUCGGACACAAUAGAGUUCAGCAAUCUGAGAUUUUCCCAAGACUUCUGGAACUGACAAGAACCAUUAGGGUUGAAAAUCUGCCACCUCAUAUUAAUAAUAGUUAAUAACAAUUUUCUUUGAAAACUCCACAAAUGGAGGAGAAGGAGUAACCAAUGUGCAGCUUUUCCCAGAGAGUUCAGCCCUGGUUGAGUUUUCUGACUACAAAGUGGUGGACACCUGCUUGGGUUAAGAGCCUGUCUUCAGUAAAAGGCCCAUCUCUGUUUCCCAUAUGAUGUGACUUUGGUCGUAGCCUUGUAUGAAAAAGAGAAGCUACUGAGAAAGUUGCCAGCACCAUUUCUGGUGGCUCUGGAUCCUUUCAUAUGAAGAUCUUGCAGAAGAAGCAUCACCUGAUUGAAACAAUAAAUUAUAAAGGGACAGUGUCCCUGUGAGGUAACAUGGCCCCAAGUCAGCUGUUAAGGAGUUAGAGGUAUCAUUCAGAUCUGUGGCCACUGAACUCAAGGAAGAACAAAGAUCAAUAUAAUCAAGACCUGGAAUGAGGAUAUUUCUAAAGACUUCUGCCAUAUCAUUUCUAAAUAUCAAGUGACCAAAUUGAAUGUGAAGUCAAUGCUAUGGGAAGACAUAAAAAACAGCAGAGGAUGAUGGGAUUUGGAUUGAGUUUGAUAUAUUCAAGAAGAUCAUGAUAACAGGUUGUUUGGAGGAGGUGAAAAGAACUCACAACAAUUAAAGACACCAGCCAUAACACUGAGAAGGAAAAAACAAAAUUUGACAGGGAAUGUGGCUGGUUCUUUUCUGGUCUUCAUAUCAGUGCUUUGAAAGAGUCUGUACCAAAGGAAUUCUCAGGGUGGGAGUUCAUUAAUCAUGCUUGCACCAAACAUACCAGAGUCCAUGCAGGAGAGUACAAAGAAUGAAAUUCCUGAGCUAGCGAAAAGGACUGUUGAAGAAGUGCAUUCCCAGUUCUUCUGGGGUUUUCUGUUUUUUAUAGAAAGUAGAGUGUGGAAAAUUCUCUAACAUUGUUUUGUUUUAAGCAAAGAAAACCCAUAACCUUUUUGAGUUAGAUCAGGCAUGAAAAGUACAUUUCAUUUCAUGGGUUACUUAGCACUGAGAGACAGUUGUUUCCUGGGGCUCUGUGUUGACUAAGACUCUGAAACUAGCUGGAUUGAUUGAAAAAGAGUGUUGAUACCGAUUAACAUCUAUCACAGGUGUGGAUGAUGAGGUAUAGGGGGAUGGGGAGGUGAUGUGCACCAUGUUUUUACCAUAGGUAAGUGCGAAAAUACAGUCAGAUAGAUCAGCUCCUCUUCAUAGUUUCUCUGAAGAGCAGAAUAAAGGAUUGUGCCUUCAUCAGCUACUAGUUUGACUUUGAGUAAGUGGUUUCAUCUCUGUACACUGGAUUUUCUCUUUCCCCCAGGAGAAUGAAGUUUCUGUACUGGAUGAUCUGUGAUGAUCCUUUAGAUUCUAAAACUGGCUGUCUCAGGGUGCCUGGGUGGCUCAGUGGGUUAAAGCCUCUGCC
This is a long non-coding RNA of Lontra canadensis (Northern American river otter), 1958 nucleotides long. RefSeq lists it as uncharacterized. NCBI's taxonomy places the organism in Eukaryota, Metazoa, Chordata, Mammalia, Carnivora, Mustelidae. The transcript is spliced from 3 exons. The record is from RefSeq and is a predicted model, not a curated record.